This 65-nucleotide transfer RNA is filed under the name Cryptocercus relictus (relict cockroach). RNAcentral's name for it is "tRNA-Ala". It matches the Rfam family "tRNA". Rfam says of the family: Transfer RNA (tRNA) molecules are approximately 80 nucleotides in length. Their secondary structure includes four short double-helical elements and three loops (D, anti-codon, and T loops). The record is from RNAcentral. RNAcentral also lists the same sequence under 1 other name. Lineage: Eukaryota; Metazoa; Arthropoda; Insecta; Blattodea; Cryptocercidae.
GGGAUUGUAGUUAAAUAUAACAUUUGAAUUGCAUACAAAAAGUAUUGAAUUUUCAAUCUAUCUCA